AGAGUUUGAUCCUGGCUCAGGAUGAACGCUGGCGGCGUGCUUAACACAUGCAAGUCGAACGAUCCUUCGGGAUAGUGGCGGACGGGUGAGUAACGCGUGGGAAUCUGCCCUCAGGAGGGGGAUAACGGCUGGAAACGGCCGCUAAUACCCCAUAUGCCGAGAGGUGAAAUGAAUUUCGCCUGAGGAUGAGCCCGCGUCUGAUUAGCUAGUUGGUGGGGUAAAGGCCUACCAAGGCAACGAUCAGUAGCUGGUCUGAGAGGAUGAUCAGCCACACUGGGACUGAGACACGGCCCAGACUCCUACGGGAGGCAGCAGUGGGGAAUUUUCCGCAAUGGGCGAAAGCCUGACGGAGCAACGCCGCGUGAGGGAUGAAGGCCUCUGGGCUGUAAACCUCUUUUCUCAAGGAAGAAGACCUGACGGUACUUGAGGAAUAAGCCACGGCUAAUUCCGUGCCAGCAGCCGCGGUAAUACGGGAGUGGCAAGCGUUAUCCGGAAUUAUUGGGCGUAAAGCGUCCGCAGGCGGCCUUGUAAGUCUGUUGUUAAAGCGUGGAGCUCAACUCCAUUUAAGCAAUGGAAACUACAAGGCUGGAGUGUGGUAGGGGCAGAGGGAAUUCCCGGUGUAGCGGUGAAAUGCGUAGAUAUCGGGAAGAACACCAGUGGCGAAGGCGCUCUGCUGGGCCAUAACUGACGCUCAUGGACGAAAGCCAGGGGAGCGAAAGGGAUUAGAUACCCCUGUAGUCCUGGCCGUAAACGAUGAACACUAGGUGUCGGGGGAAUCGACCCCCUCGGUGUCGUAGCCAACGCGUUAAGUGUUCCGCCUGGGGAGUACGCACGCAAGUGUGAAACUCAAAGGAAUUGACGGGGGCCCGCACAAGCGGUGGAGUAUGUGGUUUAAUUCGAUGCAACGCGAAGAACCUUACCAGGGUUUGACAUCCUGCGAACCCCUGAGAAAUCGGGGGGUGCCUUCGGGAGCGCAGAGACAGGUGGUGCAUGGCUGUCGUCAGCUCGUGUCGUGAGAUGUUGGGUUAAGUCCCGCAACGAGCGCAACCCACGUCUUUAGUUGCCAGCAUUCAGUUGGGCACUCUAGAGAGACCGCCGGUGAUAAACCGGAGGAAGGUGUGGAUGACGUCAAGUCAUCAUGCCCCUUACAUCCUGGGCUACACACGUACUACAAUGCUACGGACAAAGGGCAGCAAGCUCGCGAGAGUUAGCAAAUCCCAUAAACCGUGGCUCAGUUCAGAUCGUAGGCUGCAACUCGCCUACGUGAAGGAGGAAUCGCUAGUAAUCGCAGGUCAGCAUACUGCGGUGAAUACGUUCCCGGGCCUUGUACACACCGCCCGUCACACCAUGGAAGUUGGCCAUGCCCGAAGUCG
RNAcentral lists this ribosomal RNA (1373 nucleotides) under metagenome. RNAcentral's name for it is "bacterial SSU rRNA". It matches the Rfam family "Bacterial small subunit ribosomal RNA". The record is from RNAcentral.